Molecule: non-coding RNA, 85 nt
Filed under: bacterium E08(2017)
Lineage: Bacteria
Also listed under: 1 other name
Description: ZMP/ZTP riboswitch aptamer (pfl RNA motif)
Rfam family: ZMP/ZTP riboswitch aptamer (pfl RNA motif)
About the family: Previously known as pfl RNA. ZMP is also known as AICAR.
Source: Rfam by way of RNAcentral
AAGCUGGUACGUGACUGGCGUCAGAUGGAUUUAACCAUCAGGGAGCGUGCCAAUAUAUAGAAUGCCGAACGCCUGGGCAGCUGAA